AACGAACGCUGGCGGCAUGCCUAACACAUGCAAGUCGAACGAGACCUUCGGGUCUAGUGGCGCACGGGUGCGUAACGCGUGGGAACCUGCCCUUAGGUUCGGAAUAACUCCCCGAAAGGGGUGCUAAUACCGGAUAAUGUCUUCGGACCAAAGAUUUAUCGCCUUUGGAUGGGCCCGCGUUGGAUUAGCUAGUUGGUAGGGUAAAAGCCUACCAAGGCGACGAGCCAUAGCUGGUCUGAGAGGAGGAUCAGCCACACUGGGACUGAGACACGGCCCAGACUCCUACGGGAGGCAGCAGUGGGGAAUAUUAGACAAAGUGCGAAAGCCUGAUCCAGCAAUGCCGCGUGAGUGAUGAAGGCCUUAGGGUUGUAUAGCUCUGUUACCCGUGAUGAUAAUGACAGUACCGGGAGAAUAAGCUCGGGCUAACUCCGUG
RNAcentral lists this ribosomal RNA (433 nucleotides) under uncultured bacterium. Its description in RNAcentral is "partial 16S ribosomal RNA". It matches the Rfam family "Bacterial small subunit ribosomal RNA", at positions 29 to 507 of the family's 1533-position model. The record is from RNAcentral.